GGAGCGAUGCUCGAGUGGCUGAAGAGGCACGCCUGGAAAGCGUGUAUACGCCAAAAGCGUAUCGGGGGUUCGAAUCCCCCUCACUCCGCUA
Molecule: transfer RNA, 91 nt
Filed under: Muribaculaceae bacterium Isolate-013 (NCI)
Lineage: Bacteria; Pseudomonadati; Bacteroidota; Bacteroidia; Bacteroidales; Muribaculaceae
Description: tRNA-Ser
Rfam family: tRNA
About the family: Transfer RNA (tRNA) molecules are approximately 80 nucleotides in length. Their secondary structure includes four short double-helical elements and three loops (D, anti-codon, and T loops).
Source: RNAcentral